This 497-nucleotide ribosomal RNA is filed under the name uncultured bacterium. RNAcentral describes it as "partial 16S ribosomal RNA". It matches the Rfam family "Bacterial small subunit ribosomal RNA", at positions 28 to 507 of the family's 1533-position model. The record is from RNAcentral.
GAUGAACGCUGGCGGCGUGCCUAGUACAUGCAAGUCGAGCGAACGGACGAGAAGCUUGCUUCUCUGAUGUUAGCGGCGGACGGGUGAGUAACACGUGGAUAACCUACCUAUAAGACUGGGAUAACUUCGGGAAACCGGAGCUAAUACCGGAUAAUAUUUUGAACCGCAUGGUUCAAAAGUGAAAGACGGUCUUGCUGUCACUUAUAGAUGGAUCCGCGCUGCAUUAGCUAGUUGGUAAGGUAACGGCUUACCAAGGCAACGAUGCAUAGCCGACCUGAGAGGGUGAUCGGCCACACUGGAACUGAGACACGGUCCAGACUCCUACGGGAGGCAGCAGUAGGGAAUCUUCCGCAAUGGGCGAAAGCUUGACGGAGCAACGCCGCGUGAGUGAUGAAGGUCUUCGGAUCGUAAAACUCUGUUAUUAGGGAAGAACAUAUGUGUAAGUAACUGUGCACAUCUUGACGGUACCUAAUCAGAAAGCCACGGCUAACUACGUG